UACGUAGGUCCCGAGCGUUGUCCGGAUUUAUUGGGCGUAAAGCGAGCGCAGGUGGUUUAUUAAGUCUGGUGUAAAAGGCAGUGGCUCAACCAUUGUAUGCAUUGGAAACUGGUAGACUUGAGUGCAGGAGAGGAGAGUGGAAUUCCAUGUGUAGCGGUGAAAUGCGUAGAUAUAUGGAGGAACACCAGUGGCGAAGGCGACGAUCUGGCCUGCAACUGACGCUCAGUCCCGAAAGCGUGGGGAGCAAACAGG
RNAcentral lists this ribosomal RNA (252 nucleotides) under uncultured bacterium. RNAcentral describes it as "partial 16S ribosomal RNA". It matches the Rfam family "Bacterial small subunit ribosomal RNA", at positions 524 to 776 of the family's 1533-position model. The record is from RNAcentral.